CUUUUAUUUCCGCAUCCGUUUUAGUCCCCGCCUCCCGCUAGUCCCGCUCUACGCGACGCCGCGGCAGCCAUUGCUCAUAUUCUCAUAUCAAAUAUCGAUUGUCGAUUUGAUUUUUCGCUUGCGAAUUUCCAAAUUAUUUGAGUUGUAUUAGCAAUAUUAUGUGUGUUAAGUGAUCACUAAUAUCCUAUAUAUUGCGCGAAUUACCCAGAGGUAUCUAUUAACCACAAUAAUUAGUGAAUUUCAACGCAAUUAGUUAAUUUUUAUUUGAAGACCAACAUGGGAACAAGGCCUAUAUUUCGCUCAAGAAAAAUGUUGUAUUGAUAGAUCUAUGGAGGAAAUAACAAAGAUGAGUCCAGAAUUUAGCCAAAAUGCAUAAUUUUCCAAAAAUACUGAAAAACCAAAAAUAUGACAAGAAUCUUUGAAAAUAUAACACAAUGCCUUUUGUAAUUAUGUUGUUUUGUGAUGAUAGUAAAAUUUGGUUGAUAUAAAACUGAAACAUAACUAUUCCUGCUCUAUGAAUGACUCUGUGAUAACGUUACCCAGGAUUUAACUAAUUCAGAGAAAAAAUACAGUAUUUUAUUUUCUAAUGGGACUAAUAACAAAAUUGAACAUUGCAGCAUAAUCAGGUUUCGCUAGACAAGAGAAAUAUAUGACCAUGAAAGUGUAUAGAAGAUAGGCCUGAAAAUAAUAAUAUUCACUGUUAAAAUAAAAUAAAAGUGAUUCAAGUUAUAAAAGAACUAACCAGUGUAGAAAAUUCACUUUCAAAAAGAAAACAUAAAAAUGGUUGUACAGUUAAAGUGGAAUGAACUGAUAUUUUUAUAGAAACAGAACAAAACUACUAAAGGGAAACGAGGUGAAGAGCUGUAUGACAGAUGAAUCCGUCACUUGUCUUGUGGAAAACAUGCUUUUCUUAUGGUUAAGAAGUGGUAUAUCAUCUUCAUGUUCUUUCAUAAUUGAAGCACCAUCAUUGUGUAUCAUGUAGAAAAACUGCCGACAUUCAUAGGAAAUGUCAGUCACAAAAUCUGAAAUAUAGGGUAAAGGAGCCUCACUGCAACUUCUGAUAAGACUAUCAGAGAGGAUAAUAUACAAUCAGAGAGGGUAAAACAUAAAGAACGGACUAUCUGUGAUUUCAAGAUAGUGAAAAUUCACACAAGAAUAUCUAUAUACUUAUUUACCUUAUGAGUCUAUACCCAACAGAAAAAUAAAAGUGCUAGUAGAUAGUGGGAUAAAUUUAAAGGAUAAUAUAAUAUUAACUCAAAAAUUAGGUGAACUAUGUUCUAAAACAAAUUGCAGCACCAUCAGGGUUAACAUAAACAUAUGUCAUCAAACAAAUAUACACUCUUCAGUUUUUAGAGCAACAUGACCAAGAAGCAAUUGUAGGAUAGUAUUGAAAAGGAAUAUGCACUCCUAAGGAAAAUGACAUGGGGAUGGACACAGGA
Molecule: long non-coding RNA, 1439 nt
Filed under: Sitophilus oryzae (rice weevil)
Lineage: Eukaryota; Metazoa; Arthropoda; Insecta; Coleoptera; Curculionidae
Description: uncharacterized LOC115887093, transcript variant X1
Source: RNAcentral